Molecule: long non-coding RNA, 357 nt
Filed under: Nicotiana benthamiana
Lineage: Eukaryota; Viridiplantae; Streptophyta; Magnoliopsida; Solanales; Solanaceae
Description: long non-coding RNA (NBEN_LNC041774)
Source: RNAcentral
UUACAUGAAAGAUCUGUGAUCAAUUUCCCUCACCAGCAGUUUACUUAGUCAGAGCUCGUCGUACUGGACGUGCCUAAUACAACUUAUAUUUUUAGUGUAAUUUGCGAGCUAUUAUACAGUGAGCAGAUCAUUCAAUACGCACACGAAAAGUACCGCCUGCAGAUUUUCCUUGAAAUUUUUCAAAAGAAACUGUUAAAAUGUAAACCUAUAAAAAAGACAAGUUGGGGGGAAAUAUAGCUUGCUUUAGAUUUAUAUACUUCUCGUUUAUUUUCUUUUUUCCAAUAUAUAGAAGGAAAAAAUAAGACAGCCCCUUUGUUUCGAUCGGAAAGAAGACUUGGAGACAUUGAAAGAUAUGGC